AGCAGCACGUUAGAUCAAGGACACCGAGACGAGCCCCAGAGCCCUUCCCCAAGAGCCAGCAGCAGCGAGCCAUGGCCACCUCGACCGCCGCCGUGCUGUCCCCGCCGUCCGUCGCCGGGCUCCGCCUGGCGCCGUCGCCCAGGGCGCGCGUGUCGUUCCGGGCCACGCCGGCGCGGCGGUCCGUGGCGGCGCGGGCGGAGCUGAGCCCGUCGCUGGUGAUCAGCCUCAGCACCGGCGUCUCGCUCUUCCUGGGCCGCUUCGUCUUCUUCAACUUCCAGCGGGAGAACGUGGCGAAGCAGGUCCCCGAGCAGAACGGCAAGACGCACUUCGACGCCGGCGACGAGCGGGCCAAGGAGUACGCCGGCCUGCUCAAGUCCAACGACCCCGUGGGGUUCAACCUCGUCGACGUCCUCGCCUGGGGCUCGCUCGGCCACAUCGUCGCCUACUACAUCCUCGCCACCUCCAGCAACGGAUACGACCCCAACUUCUUCUGAGCGACGGGCGCGUUCGUUCUUGCUGUAAUCUGCUCGGCGUGUUGGUGUUACUGCGUUGUAUCUGAUGCCGGAAAGAUUGGUUAAUUUGGACAAGUAGUGCUACUGCGUGUGUAUAUUGCCGCAUGAAUUUGGUCUUCAUCUAUGUCGAUCUCUGUGUAUUCAGCUACUUUUCGCUUUCGGUUAUGAGUACAUUCUGAUUAUGGCAGCCAGGCAUGACUUGCGAGCAACACGAGCCAUGGGGAAGAGCAAAAGUAGCAUUUCCAUAGUCCAGAAAAACCAAAAGAAUCCAGAUAAAACCAAAAGAGAUUUGCAAUUAAGU
Molecule: long non-coding RNA, 813 nt
Filed under: Setaria viridis
Lineage: Eukaryota; Viridiplantae; Streptophyta; Magnoliopsida; Poales; Poaceae
Description: long non-coding RNA (SVIR_LNC002268)
Source: RNAcentral